UGCAAGUCGAGCGGUAAGGCCCUUCGGGGUACACGAGCGGCGAACGGGUGAGUACACGUGGGUGAUCUGCCUUGCACUUCGGGAUAAGCCUGGGAAACUGGGUCUAAUACCGGAUAUGACCAUGGAAUGCAUGUUCUGUGGUGGAAAGAUUUAUCGGUGCGAGAUGGGCCCGCGGCCUAUCAGCUUGUUGGUGAGGUAACGGCUCACCAAGGCGACGACGGGUAGCCGACCUGAGAGGGUGACCGGCCACACUGGGACUGAGACACGGCCCAGACUCCUACGGGAGGCAGCAGUGGGGAAUAUUGCACAAUGGGCGAAAGCCUGAUGCAGCGACGCCGCGUGCGGGAUGACGGCCUUCGGGUUGUAAACCGCUUUUGACAGGGACGAAGCGCAAGUGACUGUACCUGUAGAAUAAGGACCGGCCAACUACGUGCCAGCAGCCGCGGUAAUACGUAGGGUCCGAGCGUUGUCCGGAAUUACUGGGCGUAAAGAGCUUGUAGGCGGUUCGUCGCGUCGUUUGUGAAAACUUGGGGCUCAACCUUAAGCUUGCAGGCGAUACGGGCGGACUAGAGUACUUCAGGGGAGACUGGAAUUCCUGGUGUAGCGGUGAAAUGCGCAGAUAUCAGGAGGAACACCGGUGGCGAAGGCGGGUCUCUGGGAAGUAACUGACGCUGAGAAGCGAAAGCAUGGGUAGCAAACAGGAUUAGAUACCCUGGUAGUCCAUGCCGUAAACGGUGGGUACUAGGUGUGGGGCUCCUUCCACGGACUCCGUGCCGUAGCUAACGCAUUAAGUACCCCGCCUGGGGAGUACGGCCGCAAGGCUAAAACUCAAAGAAAUUGACGGGGGCC
This 849-nucleotide ribosomal RNA is filed under the name Nocardia ignorata. RNAcentral describes it as "bacterial SSU rRNA". It matches the Rfam family "Bacterial small subunit ribosomal RNA", at positions 56 to 921 of the family's 1533-position model. Lineage: Bacteria; Bacillati; Actinomycetota; Actinomycetes; Mycobacteriales; Nocardiaceae. The record is from RNAcentral.